Molecule: long non-coding RNA, 3612 nt
Filed under: Octopus vulgaris (common octopus)
Lineage: Eukaryota; Metazoa; Mollusca; Cephalopoda; Octopoda; Octopodidae
Source: RNAcentral
CGUUGAUUCUCUUUCUCUUUCUCACACACUCUCUUUAUCUCUCUGUAGCUCACUCUUUCUCUCGUUACCCCUCUCUAUCUCUUUGUCUUUCUUUCACCUGCUCUCUCUCCUUCUCUCACACACACUCUUUUUCUCCCCUUCUUCCUCUCUUUAUCUUUCUCCUUCUCGUUAAGGGGAGAUCACCACGGCUCAUCACCCAUUCACUCUCGCGCUUCUUCACCUACAAACCAUCGCCUUCUACAAUUGUUCCUUUCACUCCCACUCACUCUACACCUUUAUCUCUUUCUCCCUCUCUCUCUCCCCCUCUUCUACAUCUCCCUGCCUUUCUCUCUACCUCUGCCUCAUCCUCCGUCCUUCCAGCUACUUCAUAUUUACUCAUAAAUAUAUCUAUCUUUCUAUCUACACACAACAACGAAAAAAAGCCAAAAAGUAACCACAGCAUCUCGGACAUUACAUUUCAUCACAAAAAGGUUACGUAUAUUUUAGAUUACUAAAUAUUACUCCUAAACCAUCAUCAUAACUCUUUUCGUAGUUUAAUGAUCACCUUUAAUUACAUCUCGUUAUCGUCUGUUUCGUAUCUUCCACCAUUUUGUCUCUACCACGCCUGGACUCGCAGAGGAGAAGCGACGGUGAAUUAUUUUUUACCUUUAUUUCUAUCAAUUUUCACCCAUAAAUAAUCAUUCUAUUUUUACAUUUCAAUGCUAAACCCUCCUUUUUUUAUUUGAAAUACCUUAAAAGCCCUUCAUAGUUUCAGUAUCCAUAAUAACACACCAUCAGCGAUCGUCUUGUCACGUUUGAGUUUCUCAUUCGUAAUUUCCCUCCUUAAAUAUAUUUGUUUUUGUUUUAAAUGUUUGCAAUUUAAUUAAUUACCAUGAUUACAUAAUUGACACUGGUUAUAAUGACAAUUGAUUCUCUUUUUAUAACGGUGGAUCUUGGAGUACAUAGAACUAUAAAUAAUAAUAAUAACUGUAGAUAUUGGAAUCCUUUUAAACUGCUUCCAACCAUUCAAAGUUCUUCAAAUUUUCACCAGAUUAUUAUUAUUAUUAUUAUUAUUAAUUGUAGCUUUUGCAUGCAGCUGAUGAUUGUCGAAAUUCAUUCUUCCUAGAAAUUAAUAAUAAAGAAAUUACAUUUAAAAGGUACUACUAACCAACAGUGGUCCCGGUGCGCGCACUCGUGCAAGCUAGUCGUGACCAGGUCGAUGCUACGACUACGUAGCAAAGUAAAUAAAACACAAAAACACGAAGUAAAUAAUUCUUUAAACAAAGUAAAUAACAUAAAAACACAAAGUAAGGAUCGACUAGUCAUGACUAGCUAGCGCGUGCGCGCACCGGGACCACUGUUCGCCAGUAGUUUACCCAUUUAAAAAAAUAAUAAUAUUCAGGUGAAAAUUUGAAAAACUUCAGGUUGUUGGAAGAAUUUAACAAAAUGCAAAUAUUGAGUUGAAAAUCCCUUUGAUGGAAGAAUAAGUCGAAAGCUGUUCCUGAGACUCGAACCCACAACUUCUGUAAACAAGCGUAGCUUUCGAUUUUUUUGUAUCCGAAGCGAUUUUCAACCGAUAUUUACAUGCUGUUCAUUUAUAGCUUUAUCUGCUUCGAGAACCACUAUUACAAAAAAAUUUUGCAAGUUCUCUCGAAAGUUUAUCUAUUCUAAUGAUCGCAUUAUUUUAUUUAUUUAUUUGCUAUGUUUAUAGAGUUUUGUUUUUGUUUUUCACAGACCUUUUGGAAUCGAAGACGUCCAAUAAUAAACUUUCAAAUCAAGAAGUGGAAGGUGUAAGCAAAAUAUAAUAUUUUAAGCCGCAUAUAAAAACAUCGCAGCGACUCGAAUUUCUACUACUACUACUACUACUACUGCGGCUAUCGCUGUUGUUAUAUAGUGUUAUCUCUGUCGUCGCCAUGGGUGAUCGAUACAACAUCCACAGCCAGUUGGAACAUCUGCAAUCGAAAUACAUCGGAACUGGACACGCGGAUACAAAUAAAUGGGAAUGGCUGACGAAUCAACACAGGGACAGCUACGCUUCCUACCUUGGCCAUUUUGAUAUGCUCAAUUAUUUCUCGCUGGUGGAAAACGAAUCGAAGGCUCGCGUCCGUUUCAAUCUGAUGGAAAAAAUGGUACAGCCAUGUGGUCCGCCUCCCGAAAGACCAGAAGAUUAAAUCACAUCGGACUCUACCCACUCCCCCUCUUUUUUUUUUAUCUUAUAUGUAUAUAUAAAUAUUUUUUUUUUCAAUUUCAUUCAUAUUUUCUUAUCAUUUUACAAUUGUUAAUUUUUUCUCUUUCUCCCGCCAUCUUCAUUUCACACCCCAUUACACACACAGACGCAUUGACACAUGCAUUUGUAAUUUUCCGGCCCAGUUUCGAUCUCAACUAAUAUUUUUCCGGCGUGUCCAGUGGCUUUUAACUAAGUCGAAUCACCCAGUCAUUUAGGAUCUUAGUUAAAGACUAUUUAUUUCAGUCAUGUUGCUACUACCCUUACAUAAGACGUGAUCAAUUCACACACACUUUCUCUCUCUCUCCCUCUCUCUCUCUCUCUACCCCUAAAAAACGUAGGACCUAAAUAAUAAAUAAAAAUAUGAUAACACAGGCUUCGUACUCACGAAAACAACAACAGUCUUAAAGAAGAAGGGACACAUUGCUUUAAUUCAGUUAUAUUAAUGUGGGAAAAAGAUGAAGUGGACUUUAGAAUGCUUUAUAUAUCUGUUCAGAGUUGACCUGGAGCUAAGCAACAAGAAGCUAAAAUUAACCAUCAACGCGAUGGCGUGUCCAAUCCAUCUGCAGUUAAGGCUGGAGGUGAGAGAGCACGGCCGUAAGCCAUUUUCACUUUCACUUUAAGCCUGGUUGGAUGUCUUCAGAAUGAACACAAAUGUCUCGGCGUCUCCUGUUUUAUUGUGUCAUCGCAGUUAAGGGCCUGUGUGUACGAAACCACUGUUUACUCUAAAACUAGCCACCAUCACUAAAACUCCUCCCGCUACUCAGUGCUAUUGUAAACAAACUCACGCACGCACUCACCAACGAACGGUUCCAGCGGACUUGGCGGUUUGUUUAUUUACAUAUUACAAAAGCAGCAGAACGUGACUGAUUCAUUGUCAUGGGCCUUUAUUGAUAUUAGUUUUAGCUACAGCAAUUUUUGUUUUCUUUUUAAUAUUUACCAUAAUCAUUUUGAGUUAUUAUUUAUUAAUUUUUUUUUAUUAAGAUCGUUAUAUUAAUAAUUUUACUUAGAAAGUUCAAACACAAAUACAUUUACAUAUAUUUUUUUUUAUUCAUAUUUGUCAAUUUAUCAAUAAACCUUGUCAUUUGAGCAAAGAUUUUUAUCAUCUGGACUUCAAAUGUUUUCCUUUGAUUUCCUUCAGAUGUUUUAAGUGUCUUUUUCUUCUUUUUUUUUUCUUUGGAGGCACAUGGCUUAGUGGUUAAAGUGUUGGGCUGUUGAUCAUAAGAUUGUGGUUUCAAUUCCUGGGCCUGACAUUGCAUUGUGUACUUGAGCAUAACACUUCAUUUCACAUUGCUUCAGUAGACCCAGCUACCAAAAGUGAGUAAUCCUGCAACAGACCAGCUUCCCAUCUAGGGGAGUUGGGAUAUAUAUGUCAGAGAAUCCAAGCAGCUGGCCCUAUGAGCCUUUAU